UGGGUGGUGGAUGUGUACAAU
Caenorhabditis elegans is the source of this 21-nucleotide non-coding RNA. Lineage: Eukaryota; Metazoa; Nematoda; Chromadorea; Rhabditida; Rhabditidae. The record is from Ensembl.